GGAGAGGUGGCAGAGUGGCUGAAUGCAACUGCCUGCUAAGCAGUUAGCUGCCGCAAGGCGGCUCUCGGGUUCAAAUCCCGACCUCUCCG
This 89-nucleotide transfer RNA is filed under the name Candidatus Omnitrophota bacterium. RNAcentral describes it as "tRNA-Ser". It matches the Rfam family "tRNA". From Rfam's summary of the family: Transfer RNA (tRNA) molecules are approximately 80 nucleotides in length. Their secondary structure includes four short double-helical elements and three loops (D, anti-codon, and T loops). Lineage: Bacteria; Pseudomonadati; Candidatus Omnitrophota. The record is from RNAcentral.